Small nucleolar RNA from Manis pentadactyla (Chinese pangolin), 80 nucleotides. RefSeq annotates it as small nucleolar RNA SNORD111. The record is from RefSeq and is a predicted model, not a curated record. NCBI's taxonomy places the organism in Eukaryota, Metazoa, Chordata, Mammalia, Pholidota, Manidae. The transcript has a single exon.
CAGCCUGAAGUGAUGAUUCACGUUCAUGUCUCUUCUCUUAUAAAUCUCUUGAAGAAAAUUAUGUGCAUCUGAUCAGGCCU